UACGUAGGGGGCUAGCGUUGUCCGGAAUCAUUGGGCGUAAAGAGCGUGUAGGCGGCCCGGUAAGUCCGCUGUGAAAGUCGGGGGCUCAACCCUCGAAUGCCGGUGGAUACUGUCGGGCUAGAGUGCGGAAGAGGCGAGUGGAAUUCCUGGUGUAGCGGUGAAAUGCGUAGAUAUCGGGAGGAAUACCGAUGGCGAAGGCAGGUCUCUGGGCUGACACUGACGCUCAUGCACGAAAGCGUGGGGAGCAAACAGG
This 253-nucleotide ribosomal RNA is filed under the name uncultured bacterium. RNAcentral's name for it is "partial 16S ribosomal RNA". It matches the Rfam family "Bacterial small subunit ribosomal RNA", at positions 524 to 776 of the family's 1533-position model. The record is from RNAcentral.